Molecule: long non-coding RNA, 269 nt
Filed under: Trifolium pratense (red clover)
Lineage: Eukaryota; Viridiplantae; Streptophyta; Magnoliopsida; Fabales; Fabaceae
Description: long non-coding RNA (TPRA_LNC006103)
Source: RNAcentral
AUAGAAUUAGUUUUAUUGUGGUGAUGGAGUGUGAGUUAGAUGGGUGGGGUGUUGGUAUUUGGUCAUUUGCUUUUGUUUUACCUUUGAGACUGUUUUUGUUUUUGGUCGUGGGUGUUGUGUGGAAGAUGAUUUGCUAUGGCUUCUACUCAGUUGCGGUGUGGUUUUUGAUUGAUAUUGUCUUUGUUCUAGGAUGUUGCUUUGUUGUUGUCAUACUAUUGGUUUUAGGGGUUUCAAGCUGGGACUGCAAUUUGCGUGCAAUUUGUAUCGGU